GACGAACGCUGGCGGCGUGCUUAACACAUGCAAGUCGAGCGGUAAGGCCCUUUCGGGGGUACACGAGCGGCGAACGGGUGAGUAACACGUGGGUGACCUGCCCUCAGCUCUGGGAUAAGCCUGGGAAACCGGGUCUAAUACCGGAUAUGACUCCAUGACGCAUGUUGUGGGGUGGAAAGCCUUGUGCGGCUGAGGAUGGGCCCGCGGCCUAUCAGCUUGUUGGUGGGGNGAUGGCCUACCAAGGCGACGACGGGUAGCCGGCCUGAGAGGGCGACCGGCCACACUGGGACUGAGACACGGCCCAGACUCCUACGGGAGGCAGCAGUGGGGAAUCUUGCGCAAUGGGCGAAAGCCUGACGCAGCGACGCCG
This 370-nucleotide ribosomal RNA is filed under the name uncultured bacterium. RNAcentral's name for it is "bacterial SSU rRNA". It matches the Rfam family "Bacterial small subunit ribosomal RNA", at positions 28 to 399 of the family's 1533-position model. The record is from RNAcentral.